UUAAGCGACUAAGCGUACACGGUGGAUGCCCUGGCAGUCAGAGGCGAUGAAGGACGUGCUAAUCUGCGAAAAGCGUCGGUAAGGUGAUAUGAACCGUUAUAACCGGCGAUGUCCGAAUGGGGAAACCCAGUGCAAUUCGUUGCACUAUCGUUAACUGAAUACAUAGGUUAACGAGGCGAACCGGGGGAACUGAAACAUCUAAGUACCCCGAGGAAAAGAAAUCAACCGAGAUUCCCCCAGUAGCGGCGAGCGAACGGGGAGCAGCCCAGAGUCUGAAUCAGCUUGUGUGUUAGUGGAACGGUCUGGAAAGUCCGACGGUACAGGGUGAUAGUCCCGUACACCAAAAUGCACAGGCUGUGAACUCGAAGAGUAGGGCGGGACACGUGGUAUCCUGUCUGAAUAUGGGGGGACCAUCCUCCAAGGCUAAAUACUCCUGACUGACCGAUAGUGAACCAGUACCGUGAGGGAAAGGCGAAAAGAACCCCGGCGAGGGGAGUGAAAAAGAACCUGAAACCGUGUACGUACAAGCAGUGGGAGCACCUUCGGGUGUGACUGCGUACCUUUUGUAUAAUGGGUCAGCGACUUAUAUUCUGUAGCAAGGUUAACCGUAUAGGGGAGCCGCAGGGAAACCGAGUCUUAACUGGGCGUUAAGUUGCAGGGUAUAGACCCGAAACCCGGUGAUCUAGCCAUGGGCAGGUUGAAGGUUGGGUAACACUAACUGGAGGACCGAACCGACUAAUGUUGAAAAAUUAGCGGAUGACUUGUGGCUGGGGGUGAAAGGCCAAUCAAACCGGGAGAUAGCUGGUUCUCCCCGAAAGCUAUUUAGGUAGCGCCUCGUGAACUCAUCUUCGGGGGUAGAGCACUGUUUCGGCUAGGGGGUCAUCCCGACUUACCAACCCGAUGCAAACUACGAAUACCGAAGAAUGUUAUCACGGGAGACACACGGCGGGUGCUAACGUCCGUCGUGAAGAGGGAAACAACCCAGACCGCCAGCUAAGGUCCCAAAGUCAUGGUUAAGUGGGAAACGAUGUGGGAAGGCACAGACAGCCAGGAUGUUGGCUUAGAAGCAGCCAUCAUUUAAAGAAAGCGUAAUAGCUCACUGGUCGAGUCGGCCUGCGCGGAAGAUGUAACGGGGCUAAACCAUGCACCGAAGCUGCGGCAGCGACACUAUGUGUUGUUGGGUAGGGGAGCGUUCUGUAAGCCUGCGAAGGUGUGCUGUGAGGCAUGCUGGAGGUAUCAGAAGUGCGAAUGCUGACAUAAGUAACGAUAAAGCGGGUGAAAAGCCCGCUCGCCGGAAGACCAAGGGUUCCUGUCCAACGUUAAUCGGGGCAGGGUGAGUCGACCCCUAAGGCGAGGCCGAAAGGCGUAGUCGAUGGGAAACAGGUUAAUAUUACUGUACUUGGUGUUACUGCGAAGGGGGGACGGAGAAGGCUAUGUUAGCCGGGCGACGGUUGUCCCGGUUUAAGCAUGUAGGCUGAUUGUCCAGGCAAAUCCGGAUAAUCAAGGCUGAGGUGUGAUGACGAGGCACUACGGUGCUGAAGUAACAAAUGCCCUGCUUCCAGGAAAAGCCUCUAAGCAUCAGGUAACAUCAAAUCGUACCCCAAACCGACACAGGUGGUCAGGUAGAGAAUACCAAGGCGCUUGAGAGAACUCGGGUGAAGGAACUAGGCAAAAUGGUGCCGUAACUUCGGGAGAAGGCACGCUGGUGUGUAGGUGAAGUCCCUGCGGAUGGAGCUGAGACCAGUCGAAGAUACCAGCUGGCUGCAACUGUUUAUUAAAAACACAGCACUGUGCAAACACGAAAGUGGACGUAUACGGUGUGACGCCUGCCCGGUGCCGGAAGGUUAAUUGAUGGGGUUAUCCGUAAGGAGAAGCUCUUGAUCGAAGCCCCGGUAAACGGCGGCCGUAACUAUAACGGUCCUAAGGUAGCGAAAUUCCUUGUCGGGUAAGUUCCGACCUGCACGAAUGGCGUAAUGAUGGCCAGGCUGUCUCCACCCGAGACUCAGUGAAAUUGAACUCGCUGUGAAGAUGCAGUGUACCCGCGGCAAGACGGAAAGACCCCGUGAACCUUUACUAUAGCUUGACACUGAACAUUGAGCCUUGAUGUGUAGGAUAGGUGGGAGGCUUUGAAGCGUGGACGCCAGUCUGCGUGGAGCCAACCUUGAAAUACCACCCUUUAAUGUUUGAUGUUCUAACGUUGGCCCCUGACCGGGGUUGCGGACAGUGUCUGGUGGGUAGUUUGACUGGGGCGGUCUCCUCCCAAAGCGUAACGGAGGAGCACGAAGGUUAGCUAAUCCUGGUCGGACAUCAGGAGGUUAGUGCAAUGGCAUAAGCUAGCUUGACUGCGAGCGUGACGGCGCGAGCAGGUGCGAAAGCAGGUCAUAGUGAUCCGGUGGUUCUGAAUGGAAGGGCCAUCGCUCAACGGAUAAAAGGUACUCCGGGGAUAACAGGCUGAUACCGCCCAAGAGUUCAUAUCGACGGCGGUGUUUGGCACCUCGAUGUCGGCUCAUCACAUCCUGGGGCUGAAGUAGGUCCCAAGGGUAUGGCUGUUCGCCAUUUAAAGUGGUACGCGAGCUGGGUUUAGAACGUCGUGAGACAGUUCGGUCCCUAUCUGCCGUGGGCGCUGGAGAAUUGAGGGGGGCUGCUCCUAGUACGAGAGGACCGGAGUGGACGCAUCACUGGUGUUCGGGUUGUCAUGCCAAUGGCACUGCCCGGUAGCUAAAUGCGGAAGAGAUAAGUGCUGAAAGCAUCUAAGCACGAAACUUGCCCCGAGAUGAGUUCUCCCUGAGACUUUAAGUCUCCUGAAGGAACGUUAAAGACGAUGACGUUGAUAGGCCGGGUGUGUAAGCGCAGCGAUGCGUUGAGCUAACCGGUACUAAUGAACCGUGAGGCUUAACCUU
Molecule: ribosomal RNA, 2900 nt
Filed under: Klebsiella pneumoniae BIDMC 12A
Lineage: Bacteria; Pseudomonadati; Pseudomonadota; Gammaproteobacteria; Enterobacterales; Enterobacteriaceae
Also listed under: 2 other names
Description: bacterial LSU rRNA
Rfam family: Bacterial large subunit ribosomal RNA
Source: RNAcentral